This 440-nucleotide ribosomal RNA is filed under the name uncultured bacterium. Its description in RNAcentral is "partial 16S ribosomal RNA". It matches the Rfam family "Bacterial small subunit ribosomal RNA", at positions 338 to 795 of the family's 1533-position model. The record is from RNAcentral.
CCUACGGGAGGCAGCAGUGGGGGAUAUUGCACAAUGGGGGGAACCCUGAUGCAGCGACGCCGCGUGGGUGAAGGAGCGUUUCGGCGCGUAAAGCCCUAUCGGCAGGGAAGAAGGUUACGGUACCUGGCCAGGAAGCCCUGGCUAACUACGUGCCAGCAGCCGCGGUAAUACGUAGGGGGCGAGCGUUAUCCGGAUUUACUGGGUGGAAAGGGGGCGCAGACGGCAAUGCAAGCCAGGGGUGAAAGCCCGGGGCCCAACCCCGGGACUGCUCUUGGAACUGCAUGGCUGGAGUACAGGAGGGGCAGGCGGAAUUCCUAGUGUAGCGGUGAAAUGCGUAGAUAUUAGGAGGAACACCGGUGGCGAAGGCGGCCUGCUGGACUGUGACUGACGUUGAGGCGCGAAGGCGUGGGGAGCAAACAGGAUUAGAUACCCCAGUAGUC